GGAGGUAGUGACAAUAAAUCACAAUGCGGGACUCAUAGUCUUGCAAUUGGAUUGAGAACAACGUACAACUCUUAUCGAUAAGCCAUUGGAGGGCAAGUCUGGUGCCAGCAGCCGCGGUAAUUCCAGCUCCAAUAGCGUAUAUUAACGUUGUUGCAGUUAAAAAGCUCGUAGUUGAAGUGAGGGAGUGUGUAGUAGGACCGACUUGAUCGGAACUGCUGCAACCUCCCCCCUCCAAUCGGUGUAGUGGGGUAUUCACUUAUUUCACUACUCCUUUGGUCGUUUACUGUGAGAAAAUUAGAGUGUUCAAAGCGGGCGUUUGUUUGAAUAGAUUAGCAUGGAAUAAUGAUUGAAGGCUUUCGUGUUCGAUUUGAUUGGUUUGUUCAUGGAAGCAAGGUUAAAAGGAACAGUUGGGGGUAUUCAUAUUCACUAGUUAGAGGUGAAAUUCUCGGAUUUAUGGAAGAUGAACAAGUGCGAAAGCA
This 479-nucleotide ribosomal RNA is filed under the name Blastocystis sp. Its description in RNAcentral is "SSU rRNA". It matches the Rfam family "Eukaryotic small subunit ribosomal RNA", at positions 460 to 953 of the family's 1831-position model. The record is from RNAcentral. Lineage: Eukaryota; Bigyra; Opalinata; Blastocystidae.